CGCCGUCAAGCUGGCAGCAGUUGCAGCAGUGUUCCAGCACCCGCUUCUGAUAGCAAGUCUAGCUUGCUUAAGCCUGGUGCAGUAUAUAUCCGGAACACUGCAGCAACUGGUGCCAGCUCGACGACGUCCUCCCUUCUGGCUUCCGUGAGGACCGUCGCUCCUAAGCGUCAUAUAUAUUAUAGCUAAACCUGUCGAAGCCUCCGUGGCGCAAUUGGCUAGCGCGUUCGGCUGUUAACCGAAAGUCAGACGCGCUACCGUUGCGCCACGGAGUCGAGUGAUUGUCUGUUCUUGAGUAUAGAUCACACUUAUAGAGGAUAUAUAUAUGUAGAAAACAAGCCAACACACCCAAUGACCACCAGUCAGCUUCAUGUCCAUAAUACUGUCUUUUUACAAUUUCCGGAGCUAAAUAAGUUUCCCAUAAAUUCCGUUGCAUUGGUCGCAACCACUUGGCUAAACCAAAAUCUAUCAACAUUGCAUGGCCCUCAUGAUCAAGUAAAAUAUUUGAUGCUUUCAAAUCUCUGUGUAUGAUUCCUGCAUUAUGUAAAAAAUCUAUAACAGAGUUUUUUGUAUUAGUUUCCAUAUAAUUACAAUUUUAAGUA
Phymastichus coffea is the source of this 599-nucleotide long non-coding RNA. RefSeq lists it as uncharacterized. The transcript is spliced from 5 exons. NCBI's taxonomy places the organism in Eukaryota, Metazoa, Arthropoda, Insecta, Hymenoptera, Eulophidae. The record is from RefSeq and is a predicted model, not a curated record.